UGCGAGUCAUUGUAGCAAUACAAGGCAGACGGCUCAGUAACGCGUAGUCAAUCUACCCUAUGGACGGGAAUAACCUCGGGAAACUGAGAAUAAUGCCCGACAGAACAUUAUACCUGGAACGGUUUAUGUUUCAAAUGAUUUAUCGCCGUAGGAUGGGACUGCGGCCUAUCAGUUUGUUGGUGAGGUAAUGGCCCACCAAGACUAUUACAGGUACGGGCUCUGAGAGGAGUAGCCCGGAGAUGGGUACUGAGACACGGACCCAGGCCCUAUGGGGCGCAGCAGGCGAGAAAACUUUGCAAUGUGCGAAAGCACGACAAGGUUAAUCCGAGUGGUUUCUGCUAAAGAAACCUUUUGCUAGUCCUAGAAACACUAGUGAAUAAGGGGUGGGCAAGUUCUGGUGUCAGCCGCCGCGGUAAAACCAGCACCUCAAGUGGUCAGGAUGAUUAUUGGGCCUAAAGCAUCCGUAGCUCGUUUUGUAAGUUUUCGGUUAAAUCCAUACGCUUAACGUAUGGGCUGCCGGGAAUACUGCAUAACUAGGAAGUGGGAGAGGUAGACGGUACUCGGUAGGAAGGGGUAAAAUCCUUUGAUCUAUUGAUGACCGCCUGUGGCGAAGGCGGUCUACCAGAACACGUUCGACGGUGAGGGAUGAAAGCUGGGGGAGCAAACCGGAUUAGAUACCCGGGUAGUCCCAGCUGUAAACUAUGCAAACUCAGUGAUGCAUUGGCUUGUGGCCAAUGCAGUGCUGCAGGGAAGCCGUUAAGUUUGCCGCCUGGGAAGUACGUACGCAAGUAUGAAACUUAAAGGAAUUGGCGGGG
RNAcentral lists this ribosomal RNA (815 nucleotides) under uncultured archaeon. RNAcentral describes it as "bacterial SSU rRNA". It matches the Rfam family "Archaeal small subunit ribosomal RNA", at positions 52 to 873 of the family's 1478-position model. The record is from RNAcentral.